GGAGACGCAGCCUCGGCCUGGGGAUAGUGCCUUGUCCCUGGCUCCUGGAGCACAGCAUGCAUGUGAGGCUGCUGCAGGCUUCAGUGAUGAGAUUCUCAUCUUCCCCUCUGGGGACCGUGCACCUGGACGUGAAGAUGGUGUGGUGUGGAGAGGUGCUGUGAGGUGGGGAAGGGGUGGACCAGGGGCCCAGCUGCCCUGCACGUGUAAAACCCACCCGCCAGCCGUUCUGAGUCCUGAUGAGAACAGCGGAUGUCUUCCAAAUCCAACUCUGCUUUCCACACAGGAUCCGCUGAAAUCAGCAUCAUCCCCAGAGGGACAAGGAGAGCCGUGGGUGUCUAAAAACAAUACAUCAGGUGCAUUUAUGAAAGGGCACACAGGGAAACCCACUCCCGCAAACUUGCCCUGUUACUGGACAGCUGAACAGUCCGAACAGAAGAGGACACCUUUUCUUGGUGAAGAUCGCAGAGACGCAGACGUCUUCUCUUUUGCCCGACACCGUCCGGGUGGCCGUGGGCCGCUUGGUCAGAUCCACCCACACUUCCGGCCAGGCAGCCAGCCCCCUACGAAUUGACAACUGUAUGCGGUUAUUGGGUCCUGUCUAUAAAUUUUGGCCCACCCAAACAGUGGGGUACCGCGGGUAGGAGAAAACAUUAGAGCAAGAGACGGUAUGUUUGCUGUAGGUUCUUACUUGCCUAGAAACUCCCGGAAGAGACCCACGAAGUGAUGCCUAGUGGUCACCUCUGGGGGGCAGUGCUGAGCACAGGACAGAUGAAGCCCGAGGUGCAGGGGGAGUUU
RNAcentral lists this long non-coding RNA (795 nucleotides) under Fukomys damarensis (Damara mole-rat). RNAcentral describes it as "lncRNA (ENSFDAG00000025476.1)". Lineage: Eukaryota; Metazoa; Chordata; Mammalia; Rodentia; Bathyergidae. The record is from RNAcentral.